GUUAAUGUAGCAGAGCCCGGCUAUGCAAGAGAUCUAAGCCCUCUUCACGGGGGUUCAAAUCCCCCCAUUAACU
RNAcentral lists this transfer RNA (73 nucleotides) under Tomopterna cryptotis. RNAcentral's name for it is "tRNA-Leu". It matches the Rfam family "tRNA". Rfam says of the family: Transfer RNA (tRNA) molecules are approximately 80 nucleotides in length. Their secondary structure includes four short double-helical elements and three loops (D, anti-codon, and T loops). Lineage: Eukaryota; Metazoa; Chordata; Amphibia; Anura; Pyxicephalidae. The record is from RNAcentral.